GAUCAUGGCUCAGGAUGAACGCUAGCUACAGGCUUAACACAUGCAAGUCGAGGGGCAGCGGGAAGUCAGCUUGCUGACUUUGCCGGCGACCGGCGCACGGGUGAGUAACACGUAUCCAACCUUCCCGUUACUCUGGAAUAGCCUUUCGAAAGAAAGAUUAAUACCGGAUAGUAUCGAGAGAUUGCAUGAUUACCCGAUUAAAGAUUCAUCGGUAACGGAGUGGGAUGCGUUCCAUUAGG
This 239-nucleotide ribosomal RNA is filed under the name uncultured bacterium. Its description in RNAcentral is "partial 16S ribosomal RNA". It matches the Rfam family "Bacterial small subunit ribosomal RNA", at positions 15 to 245 of the family's 1533-position model. The record is from RNAcentral.